GAUGAAGAACGCAGCGAAAUGCGAUAAGUAAUGCGAAUUGCAGAAUUCAGUGAAUCAUCGAAUCUUUGAACGCACAUUGCGCCCGCCAGUAUUCUGGCGGGCAUGCCUGUUCGAGCGUCAUUUCAACCAUCAAGCCCCAGGCUUGUGUUGGGGACCUGCGGCUGCCGCAGGCCCUGAAAACCAGUGGCGGGCUCGCUGUCACACCGGGCGUAGUAGAUUUUAUCUCGCUCAGGGCGUGCUGCGGGUUCCGGCCGUUAAAAAGCCUUUUUUACCCAAGGUUGACCUCGGAUCAGGUAGGAAGACCCGCUGAACUUAAGCAUAUCAAUAAGCGGAGGA
This 336-nucleotide unclassified non-coding RNA is filed under the name soil metagenome. RNAcentral describes it as "partial contains 5.8S ribosomal RNA, internal transcribed spacer 2, and large subunit ribosomal RNA". The stretch from base 1 to 120 matches the Rfam family "5.8S ribosomal RNA", at positions 35 to 154 of the family's 154-position model. The record is from RNAcentral.